GACGAACGCUGGCGGCGUGCUUAACACAUGCAAGUCGAACGCUGAAGACCUGGCUUUUGUUGGGUUGGAUGAGUGGCGAACGGGUGAGUAACACGUGAGUAACCUGCCCUCUUCUUUGGGAUAACGCCCGGAAACGGGUGCUAAUACUGGAUAUUCACUGAUCUUCGCAUGGGGGUUGGUGGAAAGGUUUGUUCUGGUGGGGGAUGGGCUCGCGGCCUAUCAGCUUGUUGGUGGGGUGAUGGCCUACCAAGGCUUUGACGGGUAGCCGGCCUGAGAGGGUGACCGGUCACAUUGGGACUGAGAUACGGCCCAGACUCCUACGGGAGGCAGCAGUGGGGAAUAGUGCACAAUGGGCGAAAGCCUGAUGCAGCGACGCCGCGUGAGGGAUGGAGGCCUUCGGGUUGUAAACCUCUUUCGCUCAUGGUCAAGCCGCAACUGUGGGUUGUAGUGAGGGUAGUGGGUAAAGAAGCGCCGGCUAACUACGUG
RNAcentral lists this ribosomal RNA (486 nucleotides) under uncultured bacterium. RNAcentral's name for it is "partial 16S ribosomal RNA". It matches the Rfam family "Bacterial small subunit ribosomal RNA", at positions 28 to 507 of the family's 1533-position model. The record is from RNAcentral.